This 187-nucleotide small RNA is filed under the name Arabidopsis thaliana (thale cress). RNAcentral describes it as "ATSL150370". Lineage: Eukaryota; Viridiplantae; Streptophyta; Magnoliopsida; Brassicales; Brassicaceae. The record is from RNAcentral.
AAAAUAAUUAGGCCAUGAAAUAAAAGCAUAUUCUUUUGAAUAAGAUUUGCUUUGAUUUGGUAGUUAAUUUUUGCAUUUAAUAAGUCAGUGGCAGCCAUUGUAAAUAAGUUCUAAUUGCAGGAUUUAUUUCACAAAAUGGCUGCAAAAAUGUAUAUAUAGAUUUGCGGUCAAAAAAGUUAAACAUCAU